AUUCCAUGAUUGAGACAUUCUAGGAUGUAGUCUUGGAAGCGCUCCCAUGCUUCUGGAACGGUUCAUCAUGUUGUUGCUGAAAACUUGUAAUCUUCCCACACGGAGCAU
RNAcentral lists this small nucleolar RNA (108 nucleotides) under Sorghum bicolor (sorghum). RNAcentral's name for it is "Plant small nucleolar RNA R71". It matches the Rfam family "Plant small nucleolar RNA R71". From Rfam's summary of the family: R71 is a member of the C/D box family of snoRNAs containing the C (UGAUGA) and D (CUGA) box motifs. Multiple nearly identical copies of this snoRNA have been identified in Arabidopsis, and it is thought to function as a 2'-O-ribose methylation guide for 18S ribosomal RNA. Lineage: Eukaryota; Viridiplantae; Streptophyta; Magnoliopsida; Poales; Poaceae. The record is from Rfam by way of RNAcentral.